This 973-nucleotide ribosomal RNA is filed under the name Sarcophaga langi. RNAcentral's name for it is "eukaryotic LSU rRNA". It matches the Rfam family "Eukaryotic large subunit ribosomal RNA", at positions 100 to 897 of the family's 3401-position model. Lineage: Eukaryota; Metazoa; Arthropoda; Insecta; Diptera; Sarcophagidae. The record is from RNAcentral.
GAAAUCAGUUCAGCACUAAGUCACUUUGUCUUUAUGGCAAAUGUGAGAUGCAGUGUAUGGAAUGUCAAAUUUCUAGUAUGAUAAAUUAACGAUUUAAGUCCUUCUUAAAUGAGGCCAUUUACCCAUAGAGGGUGCCAGGCCCGUAUAACGUUAAUGAUUACUAGAUGGCAUUUCCAAAGAGUCGUGUUGCUUGAUAGUGCAGCACUAAGUGGGUGGUAAACUCCAUCUAAAACUAAAUAUAACCAUGAGACCGAUAGCAAACAAGUACCGUGAGGGAAAGUUGAAAAGAACUCUGAAUAGAGAGUUAAAUAGUACGUGAAACUGCUUAGAGGUUAAGCCCGAUGAACCUGAAUAUCCAUUAUGGAAAAUUCAUCAUUAUGAUUUUAAUAUUUAUAAUAUUAUAAUAAUAGUGUGCAUUUUUUCUAUAACGGACAUUGUAAUCUAUUAACAUAAAUAUAUUUAUCAUAAGAUCAAUGAUGCGUAAGUUUAUUCAAAUUAUUUUGCUUGCAAUUUAACAUAGAAUAAAUGCUCUUGAUUUGAUAAAGUGUUGAUAGAUUUAUUGUAUAUAGUGCUUAAAUAUUUAUAUUUUAUAAUAGCAUAUUAAUCAUUGAUUUUUAUGUUUAUUAUAUGCACUUAUAUGAUUAACAAUGCGAAAGAUUCAGGAUACCUUCGGGACCCGUCUUGAAACACGGACCAAGGAGUCUAACAUAUUUGCAAGUUAUUGGGUAUCAAAACCUAAUAGCGAAAUUAACAUAACUUUAAUGGGAUUAGUUUUUAGAUUAUUUAUAGUCUAUUAAUUCAAUCCCGGGGCGUUCUAUAUGGUUAUGUAUAAUAAUAUUUAUAUUAUUUAUAUCUCUAACCAGAGCGUACCUUGAGCAUAUAUGCUGUGACCCGAAAGAUGGUGAACUAUACUUGAUCAGGUUGAAGUCAGGGGAAACCCUGAUGGAAGACCGAAACAGUUCUGACGUGCAAA